GAUGAACGCUGGCGGCGUGCCUAAUACAUGCAAGUCGAGCGAACAGACGAGGAGCUUGCUCCUCUGACGUUAGCGGCGGACGGGUGAGUAACACGUGGAUAACCUACCUAUAAGACUGGGAUAACUUCGGGAAACCGGAGCUAAUACCGGAUAAUAUAUUGAACCGCAUGGUUCAAUAGUGAAAGACGGUUUUGCUGUCACUUAUAGAUGGAUCCGCGCCGCAUUAGCUAGUUGGUAAGGUAACGGCUUACCAAGGCGACGAUGCGUAGCCGACCUGAGAGGGUGAUCGGCCACACUGGAACUGAGUCACGGUCCAGACUCCUACGGGAGGCAGCAGUAGGGAAUCUUCCGCAAUGGGCGAAAGCCUGACGGAGCAGCGCCGCGUGAGUGAUGAAGGUCUUCGGAUCGUAAAACUCUGUUAUUAGGGAAGAACAAAUGUGUAAGUAACUAUGCACGUCUUGACGGUACCUAAUCAGAAAGCCACGGCUAACUACGUG
This 497-nucleotide ribosomal RNA is filed under the name uncultured bacterium. RNAcentral's name for it is "partial 16S ribosomal RNA". It matches the Rfam family "Bacterial small subunit ribosomal RNA", at positions 28 to 507 of the family's 1533-position model. The record is from RNAcentral.